UACGUAGGUGGCAAGCGUUGUCCGGAUUUAUUGGGUUUAAAGGGUGCGUAGGCGGCCCCCUAAGUCAGUGGUGAAAUACGGCAGCUUAACUGUCGAGGUGCCAUUGAUACUGGGGGGCUUGAGUACUGAUGAGGUAGGCGGAAUUGACGGUGUAGCGGUGAAAUGCUUAGAUAUCGUCAAGAACACCGAUAGCGAAGGCAGCUUACUAAGGAGUAACUGACGCUGAGGCACGAAAGUGCGGGGAUCAAACAGG
Molecule: ribosomal RNA, 253 nt
Filed under: uncultured bacterium
Lineage: Bacteria
Description: partial 16S ribosomal RNA
Rfam family: Bacterial small subunit ribosomal RNA
Source: RNAcentral